GAGUGGCGGCGUGCUACCAUGCAAGUUGAGCGGAGAUAUAUGGAGCUUGCUUUAUAUAACUUAGCAGCGAACGGGUGAGUAACACGUAGAUAAUCUAUCCUAUACUGGGGGAUAGCCCGAUGAAAGUUGGAUUAAUACCGCAUAUAGCUAUAUAGUUGCAUGAUUAUGUAGUGAAAGAUUUAUUGGUAUAGGAGGAGUCUGCGGCACAUUAGCUAGUAGGUGAGGUAAAGGCUUACCUAGGCGACGAUGUGUAGCCGGUCUGAGAGGAUGAACGGCCACAAUGGAACUGAGACACGGUCCAUACUCCUACGGGAGGCAGCAGUGGGGAAUAUUGCACAAUGGGGGAAACCCUGAUGCAGCAACGCCGCGUGAGUGAAGAAGGUUUUCGGAUUGUAAAGCUCUGUUAGCAGGGAAGAGGAAGGACGGUACCUGCAGAGGAAGCCACGGCUAACUACGUGCCAGCAGCCGCGGUAAUACGUAGGUGGCAAGCGUUGUUCGGAAUAACUGGGCGUAAAGGAUGCGUAGGCGGUUAAACAAGUUAUAUGUUAAAUAUAUAGGCUUAACCUGUAGAAAGCAUAUAAAACUGUUUAACUAGAGUGCAGGAGAGGUAAGUGGAAUUCCUAGUGUAGCGGUGAAAUGCGUAGAGAUUAGGAAGAACACCAGUGGCGAAG
RNAcentral lists this ribosomal RNA (671 nucleotides) under uncultured bacterium. Its description in RNAcentral is "bacterial SSU rRNA". It matches the Rfam family "Bacterial small subunit ribosomal RNA", at positions 35 to 720 of the family's 1533-position model. The record is from RNAcentral.